GACUUUCUACAAGCCAGAGAGGAGAUGGAGGAAGACAUGCCGUUUAAAAACAACUCGCAUUUUUAUAAUGCAUUCAGGAAAUAAUGGUAACAGCACAAAUAAUGUCAAACACAUUGCGCUGUAUUCUUGCAAGCUGUUCGACAUAUUGAUCAGAUUAGAUGAUCGAUAAUCGAUCAGUGUCUAAAAUGACAAAAAGCCUCCGGGAAAGGAAGUCGUACUGUAAGGACAAUUCAGGAUUACUGACGUUCUGUUUGGAUGGAACCGGGGCGACAGGGCCGGGUACGAGGACACCGGUGAAACAGCAAGAGCUUGGGGGAGCCUGCGGGGUUCGUGUAUGAAAUGCUUCAUUGGAGCUCAGCUGAAGCCCCACGGCUCACAAACACACACACAUACCGGAUCAUAUUGUGCCCCUGAAAUCCGCCCUGUGUCACCAUAGGAACACGGCUUGUUUCCAUGGUGACAAUUGAAGUUUGCAAUUAUGACCCUGCAUCAACAGCAAAAUCUGACAUUCAUCGCCGACUGAAAAGAAAAAGGUGUCUGUGGAGGUCAAACGAAAAUGUAGGAUUAAUAGUAAUUCCUAUUCAAGACACACAGAGACAGUUCUGUCACAGGUCUAUGAGGAUAUGACACUGAAAGGAAAAAGAGACAGAUGCAGAAAUGGAGAGAGAGAAAGGCGGUACGAUUGACUGACUCUCUGGGUGAUGUGAUGUGGCUUCGACUUCCUGCAUUGGUUCUUCUGACUCAAUUUAAAUACAGCCUCAAGCUAAAGAAACACAAGGGACUGUGUGUGCGUCUCUUUAUCUAAUAUUCCUUUGUUUUUUCCACAUUGUCAAGACACAAUGUGGGAGCUAGUAUUUAUCCUCUAAACAAUGCAACAGAUGGUUUAUUGAAACAUUUGAUCUGUCAGCCUGCUGCAGUACCACAAAAACAAACCUAAAUGGUUUAAUUUCCCACCUGACUCCAGUGUUUAGAGGUUAAGAAUCGUGUAAUGAAUUGUUUGGGUUUGUUAAACAGGACCUGGAGUUUUUGGUUGGUUUGUUUUGUCUAAUCUUGCCUAAAAUGAGCUGCACAUUUUUAUGGGUAUAAAAGACAAAAAUAAGAACAAAUAUUCUUCACUUAGAUCAUUAUUGCAAAUGUCAUUUCAGCCAGAAUCCGUGUGUUUCCCGCAGUUGCCAUAGAAACAUCCGUCUGCCAGACUGGAGCUUGGUCACACGGAAAAGUCGGAAUGAAAUGACUGAAGGUGAAUGAUCAAUGUGAAUGUGUGUCUGCAGGCAGUCAAAAUGAGAAAAAGAGGUCUAUGAAACAAAUGAAAAACAGCAUAAAAUAUCUACAGAGAUGUUUCUUGAUUUACUUCU
Non-coding RNA from Misgurnus anguillicaudatus (oriental weatherfish), 1355 nucleotides. Lineage: Eukaryota; Metazoa; Chordata; Actinopteri; Cypriniformes; Cobitidae. The record is from RefSeq and is a predicted model, not a curated record.